CGGACGGGUGAGUAACGCGUGAGAAUCUGGCUUCAGGUCUGGGACAACCACUGGAAACGGUGGCUAAUACCGGAUGUGCCGAAAGGUGAAAGGUUAACUGCCUGAAGAUGAGCUCGCGUCUGAUUAGCUAGUUGGUAGAGUAAAAGCCUACCAAGGCGACGAUCAGUAGCUGGUCUGAGAGGACGAUCAGCCACACUGGGACUGAGACACGGCCCAGACUCCUACGGGAGGCAGCAGUGGGGAAUUUUCCGCAAUGGGCGAAAGCCUGACGGAGCAAUACCGCGUGAGGGAGGAAGGCUCUUGGGUCGUAAACCUCUUUUCUCAGGGAAGAACACAAUGACGGUACCUGAGGAAUAAGCAUCGGCUAACUCCGUGCCAGCAGCCGCGGUAAUACGGAGGAUGCAAGCGUUAUCCGGAAUGAUUGGGCGUAAAGCGUCCGCAGGUGGCAAUGUAAGUCUGCUGUUAAAGAGUCUAGCUCAACUAGAUAAGAGCAGUGGAAACUACAUAGCUAGAGUACGUUCGGGGCAGAGGGAAUUCCUGGUGUAGCGGUGAAAUGCGUAGAGAUCAGGAAGAACACCAGUGGCGAAGGCGCUCUGCUAGGCCGUAACUGACACUGAGGGACGAAAGCUAGGGGAGCGAAUGGGAUUAGAUACCCCAGUAGUC
This 663-nucleotide ribosomal RNA is filed under the name uncultured cyanobacterium. Its description in RNAcentral is "bacterial SSU rRNA". It matches the Rfam family "Bacterial small subunit ribosomal RNA", at positions 99 to 795 of the family's 1533-position model. Lineage: Bacteria; Bacillati; Cyanobacteriota. The record is from RNAcentral.